RNAcentral lists this ribosomal RNA (206 nucleotides) under uncultured bacterium. Its description in RNAcentral is "partial 16S ribosomal RNA". It matches the Rfam family "Bacterial small subunit ribosomal RNA", at positions 524 to 728 of the family's 1533-position model. The record is from RNAcentral.
GACGUAGGGGGCGAGCGUUGUCCGGAUUUAUUGGGCGUAAAGCGCGCGCAGGCGGUUCGGAUAGUCGGGUGUGAAAAUCCGGGGCUCAACCCCGGACCUGCAUCCGAUACUUCCGGACUGGAGGCAGGUAGGGGAGAGCGGAAUUCCCGGUGUAGCGGAUGAAAUGCGCAGAUAUCGGGAAGAACACCGGUGGCGAAGGCGGCUCU